This 807-nucleotide long non-coding RNA is filed under the name Homo sapiens (human). Its description in RNAcentral is "HSALNT0349481". The record is from RNAcentral. Lineage: Eukaryota; Metazoa; Chordata; Mammalia; Primates; Hominidae.
AGUUUAUUUCUAGGCUGAGUACAUGGCUAUACUUGGAUCUCCCUUUGCCUUUAUCUCUGGGAUUUCCUUUGCUCUUUCUUGGAUUGACGUUCUCAUUUCCCAGACUCCAUGUCUUCCUCUUUCUUGCUUUGCCUCAUAAUUUUGGACUUACCUAGUAGCUUCUUCUUCUUUUUUUUUUUUUUCCUUUUUCACAUCAGAUGGGAAAUGUGCCAACGUCACAACAAGGUUUGAGGGAGGCACAUCUCAUGCUCGGACAUGAACACCCGAUCAUCAUGCUUAUGAACUACAAAAGGAUCUCCAGUAUGGGCUCACGGCAGUUGGCCCUUGAAUAACAUGAAUUUGAACUGCCUGAGUCUGCUAAUAUGUGGAUUAUCUUCUGCUUCUGCACCCUGAGACAGCAAGACCAACCCUUCCUCUUGCUUCUUUUCCUUAGCCUAUUCAACGUGAAGAUGACUAAGUUCCUCCUGCAUUCAUUUCUCUUCCUGCUGCCUUGUGAAGAAGGUGCCUUGCUUCCCCUUCACCUUCUACGGUGAUUGCAAGUUGCCUGAGGAUUCCCCAGCCAUGUGAAACUGGACAUGGAUGAAGCUGGAGACCAUCAUUCUCAGCAAACUAACACAAGAACAGAAAACCAAACACCACAUGUUCUCACUGGGAUUUCAAGACACAUUUGAUAUCUUACAGAGCUGAUAGCUGCCGUGCAUAGGGGAAAUAAAUGAGAGGAAUAUGUCUGCAUAGUGGGGGUGCAGCUAGCCUUGGGUAGUGAUUCAUUUAAUAUUCUUUUGGCUGCAAGUAACAGAAUAUCCAAAU